GUUUGAAAUGUGUAUCAACAAGUUUUGGAUUUCAUUUUUAUAUUUUGAAUGUCAUUUCCACGUGGAUAUCCUGGCCAGAAUUCCGAAAGGCGAGGGACUUCAGUUGUUCGCCAACUGACAGGUUUUUAACACCUGAACUCUGGCUGCAGUCAUUGGCCAAGGCGUUGCAGGGUUAUCCUCUACGGACUGCAGCAUUCGAUUGAAUCAUGCUCUGGUAACGUUUCCAGGCGAGCUGGCUUUCCAAUGAACUCUUCACGACAUGGCAGAUGACACCACCAGGGCAUACUGUUAGGUGAAGCAAGGUUUUAUAUAUGAACUUACACAUACACGCUCACAUGUACGCACACGCACACGCACGCACACACGCACGCACACACACACGCAAGCACGCACACACGCGCGCACACACACACGCACGCACACACACACACACACACACACACACACACACACACACACACACACACACACACACACACACACACACACACACACACACACAUUUGCGCCCUCACAUCCACAAACGUAUUAUUUCCUCAUUUCAAUUUCAGUCUUUAUUUUUCCUUUCCUCGGGUAUGUCAUAAAAGCCUGAUGGCCGAUAUCACUGGCCUCAAAUACCACCGAACAUCAAGGCAGCAUAUGUCCCUGGAGGAGAAACAGUGAGCAACCAGUCGAAGGCAACAGAGUGCCACCCCUGCAGAGCACCAUGGCACAGCUGAACAGCGAAGGUUUGCCGAGUGCCGUUUUCAUCCUUUGAACUUGCCGUUCAGUCUCUGUGAUUACCUGGAACUGAACAGGAAAAUGUUUCCGCCACCGCAGCCCAGAUGGUCAUAAAAAGGUGCCUAAAUUACUAAAGUUUUGGCGAAGUUUCUUGCCAAGAAAUUGGCAAGCAGUUUGAUUAUUGAUGAAAGGACUGACUGCUCCACCGAUAGAGCUUGUGCCUUAGUUGUCAAGUAUUUUGACAAGGAAAGCAAUAAAAUCCAAACGGUCAUGCUAAACCUCAUCAAUGUUCAUGAUGGAUAUGAUGGGUCAUCUGGAGAGUCUCUCUUUAACCUAAUCCUUAACUCUCUUAAUUCAUACGAAAUCCUUCUUAGCAACCUGGUUGGCUUUACUGCUGAUGGGGCAUCCAAUAUCAUGAGUGCUCUAAAUAGUGUGAGCAGCAGAUUGAAGGCUCGGAUUCCUGGUAUAACCAUUUUUAAGUGUGUAGCUCACAGUAUUCAUUUAUGUUCCAGCGGCAAAAACACUUCCCCAAAACUAUGAUGACAAUUGGAAAUGUUUACAACUUUUUCUGUCACAGUGCUAAAAGAAAAUAUGAAUUCUAAGAUUACCAGGCAUUUUGUGGUGUCAAGCCUCAUAAGGUGCUACACCCGUGACUCUCUUUAGCACAAGCUGUGGAACGGGUGCUCGAUCAAUGAAUUUGCCAGGCUCUGGAUAACAAAGCAAUUUAUAAUUAUUUGAAGUUUUUGAAUUACAUCUUACCGCUCCUCAACAAAGUAAAUUUGAUAAUUUCAAUCAAAAGGACCAACCCUUCAUUUAGCUCGCGAAAAUGUUUCAAAUUUAUAUCUGAAAUUGCUUUAUUAUUUCUGUCAGCCACAAAUACUACAAGCGAUGACGUUCAAUGAAAUAGAUCCUUCAGACUCAACAAUACCUCUGCCAGUUCGGUAAAUAUAGCAUUUGAGUAUGUCCACAUCCUCCUCCAGACACCCAAAACUACAAAUUGAUUACAAAGAUUUAAAAAAAGAAAAACACGUGGAGAGCUUCUUUAAUAAAAAUCAAAUCAGAAAAAAAAGGUUUGAUCUUGCUAAUCCGCAAUAGGAAAUGGCAUCAGAUUUACCGCCAAAAAAACAUCAUUCAUUCAAAUAUAAGACCUACUGUUCCAUCGUUAAUACAGUUGGCCAAAGAAGUAUGAUAUGCAGUCACUCGCAGACCAGUGGCGAGAUAUUGCAUGAGAAAUAAAAAGGGAAAGAAAGAUCAAAGUUGAAAUUAGAAACAAUAAGAUCACUUAUUCAUUUAAGUGAUUGUGCGAAAAUAUGG
RNAcentral lists this long non-coding RNA (2034 nucleotides) under Penaeus chinensis. RNAcentral describes it as "uncharacterized LOC125033201". The record is from RNAcentral. Lineage: Eukaryota; Metazoa; Arthropoda; Malacostraca; Decapoda; Penaeidae.